RNAcentral lists this transfer RNA (83 nucleotides) under Phycisphaeraceae bacterium. RNAcentral's name for it is "tRNA-Tyr". It matches the Rfam family "tRNA". Rfam says of the family: Transfer RNA (tRNA) molecules are approximately 80 nucleotides in length. Their secondary structure includes four short double-helical elements and three loops (D, anti-codon, and T loops). Lineage: Bacteria; Pseudomonadati; Planctomycetota; Phycisphaerae; Phycisphaerales; Phycisphaeraceae. The record is from RNAcentral.
GGGGGUGUACCGAAGUGGCCAAACGGGGCAGACUGUAAAUCUGCUGGCUUAUGCCUACGUUGGUUCGAAUCCAACCGCCCCCA